RNAcentral lists this ribosomal RNA (344 nucleotides) under Vibrio alginolyticus. RNAcentral's name for it is "bacterial SSU rRNA". It matches the Rfam family "Bacterial small subunit ribosomal RNA", at positions 932 to 1264 of the family's 1533-position model. Lineage: Bacteria; Pseudomonadati; Pseudomonadota; Gammaproteobacteria; Vibrionales; Vibrionaceae. The record is from RNAcentral.
GUGGAGCAUGUGGUUUAAUUUGAUGCAACGCUUGAAGAACGAAGCCUUACCUACUCUUGACAUCCAGAGAACUUUCCAGAGAUGGAUUGGUGCCUUCGGGAACUCUGAGACAGGUGCUGCAUGGCUGUCGUCAGCUCGUGUUGUGAAAUGUUGGGUUAAGUCCCGCAACGAGCGCAACCCUUAUCCUUGUUUGCCAGCGAGUAAUGUCGGGAACUCCAGGGAGACUGCCGGUGAUAAACCGGAGGAAGGUGGGGACGACGUCAAGUCAUCAUGGCCCUUACGAGUAGGGCUUUAAACACACGUGCUACAAUGGCGCAUACAGAGGGCGGCCAACUUGCGAAAGU